RNAcentral lists this ribosomal RNA (490 nucleotides) under uncultured Glomeromycotina. RNAcentral's name for it is "SSU rRNA". It matches the Rfam family "Eukaryotic small subunit ribosomal RNA", at positions 596 to 1081 of the family's 1831-position model. The record is from RNAcentral. Lineage: Eukaryota; Fungi; Glomeromycota.
AGCGUAUAUUAAAGUUGUUGCAGUUAAAAAGCUCGUAGUUGAAUUUCGGGAUUGACGUGACGGUCGUGCCUUANGGGGUAUGAACUGUCNCNGNUGAUUUCUCACCUUCUGGAGAAGCUCGAUGUCCUUAAUUGGAUGUCUUGUGGAACCAGGACCUUUACCUUGAAAAAAUUAGAGUGUUUAAAGCAGGCAUUUUGCUCGAAUACAUUAGCAUGGAAUAAUAGAAUAGGACGGCNUGNUUCUAUUUUGUUGGUUUCUAGGAUCACCGUAAUGAUUAAUAGGGAUAGUUGGGGGCAUUAGUAUUCAAUUGUCAGAGGUGAAAUUCUUGGAUUUAUUAAAGACUAACUACUGCGAAAGCAUUUGCCANGGAUGUUUUCAUUAAUCAAGAACGAAAGUUAGGGGAUCGAAGACGAUCAGAUACCGUCGUAGUCUUAACCAUAAACUAUGCCGACUAGGAAUCANACGAUGUUAAUUUUUUAAUGACUCGUUU